GGCUCAGGACGAACGCUGGCGGCGUGCUAAUACAUGCAGUCGAGCGGACAGAUGGGAGCUUGCUCCCUGAUGUUAGCGGCGGACGGGUGAGUAACACGUGGGUAACCUGCCUGUAAGACUGGGAUAACUCCGGGAAACCGGGGCUAAUACCGGAUGGUUGUUUGAACCGCAUGGUUCAAACAUAAAAGGUGGCUUCGGCUACCACUUACAGAUGGACCCGCGGCGCAUUAGCUAGUUGGUGAGGUAACGGCUCACCAAGGCAACGAUGCGUAGCCGACCUGAGAGGGUGAUCGGCCACACUGGGACUGAGACACGGCCCAGACUCCUACGGGAGGCAGCAGUAGGGAAUCUUCCGCAAUGGACGAAAGUCUGACGGAGCAACGCCGCGUGAGUGAUGAAGGUUUUCGGAUCGUAAAGCUCUGUUGUUAGGGAAGAACAAGUACCGUUCGAAUAGGGCGGUACCUUGACGGUACCUAACCAGAAAGCCACGGCUAACUACGUGCCAGCAGCCGCGGUAAUACGUAGGUGGCAAGCGUUGUCCGGAAUUAUUGGGCGUAAAGGGCUCGCAGGCGGUUUCUUAAGUCUGAUGUGAAAGCCCCCGGCUCAACCGGGGAGGGUCAUUGGAAACUGGGGAACUUGAGUGCAGAAGAGGAGAGUGGAAUUCCACGUGUAGCGGUGAAAUGCGUAGAGAUGUGGAGGAACACCAGUGGCGAAGGCGACUCUCNGUCUGUAACUGACGCUGAGGAGCG
This 749-nucleotide ribosomal RNA is filed under the name Bacillus subtilis. RNAcentral describes it as "bacterial SSU rRNA". It matches the Rfam family "Bacterial small subunit ribosomal RNA", at positions 21 to 755 of the family's 1533-position model. The record is from RNAcentral. Lineage: Bacteria; Bacillati; Bacillota; Bacilli; Caryophanales; Bacillaceae.